This 451-nucleotide ribosomal RNA is filed under the name uncultured bacterium. Its description in RNAcentral is "bacterial SSU rRNA". It matches the Rfam family "Bacterial small subunit ribosomal RNA", at positions 94 to 541 of the family's 1533-position model. The record is from RNAcentral.
AGUGGCGGACGGGUGAGUAAUACUUAGGAAUCUACCCAGUAGCGGGGGACAACUCGGGGAAACUCGAGCUAAUACCGCAUACGCUCUACGGAGGAAAGCAGGGGAUCUUCGGACCUUGCACUAUUGGAUGAGCCUAAGUCGGAUUAGCUUGUUGGUGAGGUAAAGGCUCACCAAGGCGACGAUCCGUAGCUGGUCUGAGAGGACGAUCAGCCACACUGGGACUGAGACACGGCCCAGACUCCUACGGGAGGCAGCAGUGGGGAAUAUUGGACAAUGGGGGCAACCCUGAUCCAGCAAUGCCGCGUGUGUGAAGAAGGCCUGCGGGUUGUAAAGCACUUUCAGUAGAGAAGAAAAGCCUAGGGUUAAUACCCCUGAGUCUUGACGUUACCUACAGAAGAAGCUCCGGCUAACUCCGUGCCAGCAGCCGCGGUAAUACGGAGGGAGCGAGCGU